CCGACAUGCUGACGACGGACAGUCAAUGGUAUAUACCAUAAUAUGUCCUGAAAAUUGGCGUAAAAAAAAAAGGCUCAACUAAAUCAAAUUUUUGAAACGUGAUUGAUUUUAUUCCUCUAAUAUCUAUGAGAUCAAAUUUAUAAAACAUCUAUUAAUAUAAUUAAUUUCAAUGUACUAGUAUACAUGUAAGAAUUGUUGCCAUUUAUACAUCAUGUACAUGUACAAUCAUUAGCUGAUCAGCUCUAUAUUUUCUUUAUUUUUAUUCUCCUUCACUGUUUUUUUUUAUAAGAGUAGACUCAUAUAUAUGAUCUGUAUUCAUCAUUGGGACAGGUAGCUAUAUAUAUAGGUGAAGUAGGUCCUUUUGAUUUGAUUUUUUUAAAGGAUUUUGACAGCACUAAAGCAUAUACAUGUAGUUCCAAUUUAUAGUUGAUCUUAGCUCCUUAAGUGGAUUGUGGCAACACAUAUUGCAUAUAUACAUGUAGAAUGUUGUUCUUAAGUUUCAGCACUUUACGCAUAGUUUCCGGUUGCAAGACUAGAAUAUGAUACUGGCUUCUCAUGAAAUUCUGUCAGUACUUUGCCAAUAGUUUCCAAGUAAAGUUGAACAUUCCAAGCUCACUCCUUCCAUUUGCAAUGUACAUGUACAAAUGUACUUGCAGCC
Molecule: long non-coding RNA, 658 nt
Filed under: Mytilus galloprovincialis (Mediterranean mussel)
Lineage: Eukaryota; Metazoa; Mollusca; Bivalvia; Mytilida; Mytilidae
Source: RNAcentral